UUCGAGCUCGGCUCGACUCUCCCACCCUUUGUGAACGUACCUCUGUUGCUUUGGCGGCUCCGGCCGCCAAAGGACCUUCAAACUCCAGUCAGUAAACGCAGACGUCUGAUAAACAAGUUAAUAAACUAAAACUUUCAACAACGGAUCUCUUGGUUCUGGCAUCGAUGAAGAACGCAGCGAAAUGCGAUAAGUAAUGUGAAUUGCAGAAUUCAGUGAAUCAUCGAAUCUUUGAACGCACAUUGCGCCCCUUGGUAUUCCGGGGGGCAUGCCUGUUCGAGCGUCAUUACAACCCUCAAGCUCUGCUUGGAAUUGGGCACCGUCCUCACUGCGGACGCGCCUCAAAGACCUCGGCGGUGGCUGUUCAGCCCUCAAGCGUAGUAGAAUACACCUCGCUUUGGAGCGGUUGGCGUCGCCCGCCGGACGAACCUUCUGAACUUUUCUCAAGGUUGACCUCGGAUCAGGUAGGGAUACCCGCUGAACUUAA
RNAcentral lists this ribosomal RNA (484 nucleotides) under Lasiodiplodia hormozganensis. RNAcentral describes it as "eukaryotic LSU rRNA". The stretch from base 130 to 283 matches the Rfam family "5.8S ribosomal RNA". Lineage: Eukaryota; Fungi; Ascomycota; Dothideomycetes; Botryosphaeriales; Botryosphaeriaceae. RNAcentral also lists the same sequence under 3 other names. The record is from RNAcentral.